CCACAGCAGUAGUUCGAUCACCACUUCGAUUGUAUAGGGAUAAAAUAUAAGGAUGAUUGACUUUAGUGCAAGUGAAAGAUUGAAAGGAAUAUACCCUACAUGCCAAUUGAAAUUUGUAUUUUGAUGGAUUUUCUUUAUAAUCUUUCAGACUCAUGUAAUUGACACUUUAUAAAUAAAAGGCAUCUAUUUUUCAUCAUGUACUGCAUCUUACAUUCAUAAUAAUUAUGAUGAACCCCAUUAAUCAAGAUAAUUAUUUUAAGAUUAUGAUGAGAUCAUACCUAUGAGAUCUAAAAUCUUAAAAAUCUUGAUU
Molecule: long non-coding RNA, 310 nt
Filed under: Elaeis guineensis (African oil palm)
Lineage: Eukaryota; Viridiplantae; Streptophyta; Magnoliopsida; Arecales; Arecaceae
Description: long non-coding RNA (EGUI_LNC048418)
Source: RNAcentral